This 355-nucleotide unclassified non-coding RNA is filed under the name soil metagenome. Its description in RNAcentral is "partial contains 5.8S ribosomal RNA, internal transcribed spacer 2, and large subunit ribosomal RNA". The stretch from base 1 to 120 matches the Rfam family "5.8S ribosomal RNA", at positions 35 to 154 of the family's 154-position model. The record is from RNAcentral.
GAUGAAGAACGUAGCGAAAUGCGAUAAGUAAUGCGAAUUGCAGAAUUCAGUGAAUCAUCGAAUCUUUGAACGCACAUUGCGCCGGCUAGUAGUCUGGCGGGCAUGCCUGUCUGAGCGUCAUUUCAACCCUCGCCCCCGGCUUUUGCUGGGAGCGGUGUUGGGGAUCGGCCGCCCGUCACUGGGAGGCCGGCCCCGAAAUAGAGUGGCGACCACGCCGUGUGCUCCUCUGCGUAGUAGUAAAUCACCUCGUAGGCGGACAGCGGUGCGGCCUGCCGUAAAACCCCCAACUCUUUCUGGUUGACCUCAGAUCAGGUAGGAAUACCCGCUGAACUUAAGCAUAUCAAUAAGCGGAGGA